This 465-nucleotide ribosomal RNA is filed under the name Vreelandella stevensii. Its description in RNAcentral is "partial 16S ribosomal RNA". It matches the Rfam family "Bacterial small subunit ribosomal RNA", at positions 338 to 795 of the family's 1533-position model. Lineage: Bacteria; Pseudomonadati; Pseudomonadota; Gammaproteobacteria; Oceanospirillales; Halomonadaceae. The record is from RNAcentral.
CCUACGGGAGGCUGCAGUGGGGAAUAUUGGACAAUGGGGGCAACCCUGAUCCAGCCAUGCCGCGUGUGUGAAGAAGGCCCUCGGGUUGUAAAGCACUUUCAGUGAGGAAGAACGCCUGGUGGUUAAUACCCAUCAGGAAAGACAUCACUCACAGAAGAAGCACCGGCUAACUCCGUGCCAGCAGCCGCGGUAAUACGGAGGGUGCGAGCGUUAAUCGGAAUUACUGGGCGUAAAGCGCGCGUAGGUGGCUUGAUAAGCCGGUUGUGAAAGCCCCGGGCUCAACCUGGGAACGGCAUCCGGAACUGUCAAGCUAGAGUGCAGGAGAGGAAGGUAGAAUUGCCGGUGUAGGGGGGAAAUGCGUAGAGAUCGGGAGGAAUACCAGUGGCGAAGGCGGCCUUCUGGACUGACACUGACACUGAGGUGCGAAAGCGUGGGUAGCAAACAGGAUUAGAUACACCGGUAGUC